This 438-nucleotide long non-coding RNA is filed under the name Amazona collaria (yellow-billed parrot). RNAcentral describes it as "lncRNA (ENSACOG00000003695.1)". Lineage: Eukaryota; Metazoa; Chordata; Aves; Psittaciformes; Psittacidae. The record is from RNAcentral.
GCUGCAGUAUCGCAACACACAGUGUCUCUUCGAGCCUGUGCUAAGAUUGAGGACAAAUGUGACUGUCUGGACUGCUGCAGGCACAUGGUUUAAAGAUAUGUUGAUCCAGGCAGUGUGCUGAAAGAAGGAAACAAACAUGAACCCUGUGUGAACUGAAGAGGACUGUGGGCUGCAUAUCUGGGACUUGAUGGGGCUGCAGUUGGGUGACCUCUGUGACAUGGCCAGUGGCAAGAUGCACCGGCCCAUGAGGUCCUGCAGAAGAGCGGAUAGAUUCCAGGGCAGAGUGGUAGCAUCUUGUAACCCGAAGCUGGUCAGAGAGGCAGAAGAGACUCUCACCACCAAGCAGAGGCUGGCCAGCCCUUGGGAGAGGAGGUGGCCCCGGACUACCCAGCUCUGGGACAUGGGUGAAGUCUCCCAUCAAAAGGUAGCCUUUCUCUG